Long non-coding RNA from Triticum aestivum (bread wheat), 1683 nucleotides. RefSeq lists it as uncharacterized. The record is from RefSeq and is a predicted model, not a curated record. The transcript has 6 exons. NCBI's taxonomy places the organism in Eukaryota, Viridiplantae, Streptophyta, Magnoliopsida, Poales, Poaceae.
UCGUCCACCAGGUUUUACGCUGGUCUCUCCUCGCAGCCCGCGCUCCCCCAAAUUCCCCAUUCUACUUGCGUCGGGAGAGAACGACGAGCAGGGGCGGCGCGAUUUCGCCGCGAUUUCGCACCGGAUUCAUGGGGGGUAGCCAUCGUGUGAGGCCGGCCACACGCGGGCACUGCCGGUGAGCCCCCAGCCCGCCCGUCCUCGCCGGUCCUCCCCAUCUGCCCCCAAAAGUUUUCCAUGACAUUCCUAAUCGGUCGUCGUCGAGGCAUUUGCUGCUGCCAUGCGUGCAGGUGCAGACCUGGGUGGUGCCGCUGGCGCUUACGAUCCGACCGUGAGCCGGCUUAUGGGGCAGGUUCCCGGCGGAGUCAACGGGAGCAGCGCCGGCGGCCCCGGCCCGCCUAGGCCAGCAGGGGUUGCAUCUGACGCCUAGACGCCUGUACGCACGCACGGAUGCAAGCAGAGGGUCACAAGGUGUGCGUUUUGACACGCUCCACCUUCAGGGUCGUCUCUGUUUUCUUUGAGUUAGCUAGGUGUAUUCCACUUCUUCAGUUAAGUUCAGUUGAAAUGAGGAUACUUGAUUUUGACAUCGCCGAAAACGGCUCCGCUUCUUGUACACCAACGGACCGGGACCCACGAAAAAACCCUUUUCAAACCAUCAAAGUAAUGCCCAAGUAAGGAAACCUCUACCAGGUGCAGUAUAAGUCAACACUAGCUGCUCAUGCUGGAAGAAAAGAUAGGAAAACACUGAAAAAACAGUUGCAAUCAGGAUGAACAAGUAGCGUGCAUCGUCUCAGAUCUACCUCGGUCGAAGGAAGGCCGAAGCUGCCCGGUCCACCUCGAUGGAGGGAAUUCAUGAGAUAGAACGAGGCAUCCUAUCAAACCAUGUGUCCAAAACGUCACUCUGGGUAUUUUUGGGCUUUUCAGCCCAACAGGGAAAAUCCCAUGAAAGCCCUCGCAAGCAGUGGUGGAGGUACCAAAAUAUUAUUGGGCGGGCCAGAUUGAAGAAAAACACACGAGUUUAGCUUCCCGAACCCAGUUUCACCUUAUUCAAUGAUUUGGCCCAAGGCUAGGCAGACCACCGCCCACUUUUGUUUCAACUAAGCUCCAUCCCUGGUCCCAAUCCCAUGUGUACCAAACAACACGAUAGCUAUAUCUCACUCUUUACGAGGCGGUAGCUCAUCUUGUCUCGCCCCUAGCGCCGCUAGCAUGACGACCCAGGUGUGUUCUGUGGUUUUUGUGGGAGCGGUUUUAGAAAGCUAUGGGCCGGUUUGGACUAUCUAAAAUUUCGCGUGUUCUUUUCUACGUGUUUUCUAUAUCGAUUUUUUUCCUUUCAAUUUUCUCCUUUUUUUUGUGCUCAUUUAUUUAUUAUUGUCUUCCUUUCCUUUCAUUUUUUCCUUCAUUUCUGAAAUACACGCAAACAUUUUUCAAAUGCACGUAGAACAUUUUUCAUAUACAUGAUGAUCAGUUUUCACAUACACAUUGAGUAUUUCCAUUUAUGGGUUGAACAUUUUUCUCAAAUACAUGUUGAACAUUUUUUGAUACACGAUGAAUAUUUUUAACACACAUUGAACAUUAUGCGUAAAUGCCAUGAACAUGUUUUUUAAACAUGCAAACCAUUUGUUAACUGUUAGAUUCUCACUAACCACAUUGUCAUCACAUUAAAAUACCACCAGGGACUAAAUGCAC